AAGAUACUCUGGUGUCUGUUUGAGGAUUUAUAUUCCUAAAAACAUUUUUCAAAAUGGUAUGGGUUGUUUUCAGCCGGUCCCUAGUGUGGUAUAUUCAACAUUGACACGGUGUUUCUUCUUUUGUGAAAUUACUCUUAUGUAUUGUCAAAUGUUAUUUCUAUCGUAACAUUAAACAGCAUGUAUUAAUAGGAACCACAGAAGCGGAACUAAUUAGUUUAAGUGGUGUUGCGCCCAGUUUCCGCUAGGGGAGGGGCUCCGCCCUCCCCUCCAGAGAAGAUUUGGGAAGCAAAGACUCUCAGAGAAACGCUGCUGUCUCCAUUCCAAUUAAUGUACAUCUGUAUUUACCAGCCCAAUCGUCCACCCUGGCUGUAGUUGUGUGAAAAGGUGAAUGAUGAUCGGGGACGUCUAUCAGGGACAGCUGGCCCUCGUCACAUUCAUCUCGGCAGGACCUCCAAAUGUUACAGCCUGAAAAGGGUGAUAUCAAUGAAGACUCUUGGACACGAUGCAUCCCUUCUGGCAGCUGGACUGAGAACCUGUAUUAUUUUCUAAAUGAUUUACAUAGUUACAAAAGUUCUUUCAAUAGAUACAAGACAAAAUUGGAACAAUAAUAAGCAUAUCCUUUACAUUCCAAAGUCAACUUGCUAAUCUAAUUUUCUUCCAGUAGUCUUUUACAAGUAAAUAAACAAUCAAUUGUAAUUUCUUACUCUUUUCUUAAACAGGUAAAAUCAAAUGUGACAGUAUUUAUGAAGAUGAUCUAUUAGUCAAUAUACAAAGUUAAAUUAUAAAACAUAUGUACUGGGGACAACCAAAGAUAUAUUGUAAAACAUUAGUAGUCAUUUGUCUCCUCUAUUACUUGUUACCUACAAUGGUUAAUUCAGAAAUGAACACACAAUCACAAUAGUCAUUAAUCAAACACAUAAACAGUGUCAAUAUUAACCACAAACAUUGAUAACCUCAUACUCCGUAUGUCUUACUGAGCUAAACACUAUCAAAAUGCAUACAACACGUGUUAGUCUCAUGCCGUUUGUACAGAGUUUAGCUAGGUGUGUUACCGUAUCAGCUAACAAUCGAGAAUACAAAUAUUGUGCUUUUAGACACUCAACAUUUGGUUGGUAUGUUAAUAAAACACAAACAAAACAAUUUAUUAAACAUAUUCCAAAGUUCAAAAGCACAAAUACUCAUUUUGUACCUGAAAAGGGGAGAUAUCAAUGAAGACUUGGACACGAUCCAUCCCUUCUGGCAGCUGCAUUGAGAAUGAGGCAUCAUGAUCGAAAGCUCAAGACUCCCCCUACCAGCCUCUGCAGGCAUGACUAAUCAAUCACAGCUCUCAAACGGCACAACAAGUCGAUCAUAGAUUAACAUUGUAUAUAAAUGAAUUUAAAUUUUUUCCCUUUUACUGUUUUUAAUACCUAUUGAACUUAUUGAUCAGCAUCCUAAA
Molecule: long non-coding RNA, 1438 nt
Organism: Hypomesus transpacificus
Lineage: Eukaryota; Metazoa; Chordata; Actinopteri; Osmeriformes; Osmeridae
Exons: 2
Source: RefSeq, a predicted model, not a curated record